UUUUUUUGAGUAUUAUAUAAGGUCUGGCCUGCCCAAUGAGGAAUUGAAUGGCUGCGGUAUUUUAACCGUGCUAAGGUAGCAUAAUCAUUUGUCUUUUAAUUGAGGGCUUGUAUGAAAGGUUGGAUGAAACAAUAACUUUCUUUAAUUUAAUUUAUGAAUUUAAUUUUUUAGUCAAAAAGCUGAAAUAUUUUUAUUGGACGAGAAGACCCUAUAGAUCUUUACAGGUUAUUAAAUUUGAUAAUUUAGGAGAAUUACUUAUUUUUAUUUAAAAUCUUGUUUGAUUGGGGUGAUUGUAGAAUUUUAUGAACUUCUAUUGUUUGAUUUUCAAGAAUUAUUGUUUAAUUGAUCCAUAAUAUGAUGAUUAAAAGAUUAAG
Molecule: ribosomal RNA, 374 nt
Filed under: Rhodnius brethesi
Lineage: Eukaryota; Metazoa; Arthropoda; Insecta; Hemiptera; Reduviidae
Description: partial 16S ribosomal RNA
Source: RNAcentral